This 200-nucleotide ribosomal RNA is filed under the name uncultured bacterium. RNAcentral's name for it is "partial 16S ribosomal RNA". It matches the Rfam family "Bacterial small subunit ribosomal RNA", at positions 8 to 222 of the family's 1533-position model. The record is from RNAcentral.
AGAGUUUGAUCAUGGCUCAGAAUCAACGCUGGCGGCGCGCUUAACACAUGCAAGUCGCACGAGAAAGCGGGAGCAAUCUCGCAAGUAAAGUGGCGUACGGGUGAGUAACACGUGGAUGAUCUGCUUUAGUGGGGAAUAACGCUGGGAAACCGGCGCUAAUACCGCAUAAGCUCGAGAGAGGAAAGCAGCAAUGCGCUGAA